AGAGGUAAUUUAUGAUCUCAAUUGCUUACUGUCUUACUACUCCUCUUAAUUUAAUGUCAUUUUAUUUUAAUGUCAUCUUAUCUAAUUUAUUACAUUUACACAUUAUGUAAUGUGAUUCUUUAUUUUGCAAAUUUUAUUAUUCUAAGUUUAGUACUGUAAUUUCCUAUAUUUUUUUAUGGUCACUGAACGUCACAUGUCCCAGCAGACUUCCUGGCAGUAGCCCGUAUGUGUCGUCAGUCUGCUCUCUUCCAUGUGACGGUUGGUUGCCCGUGUAUUAGCUUGAUAGCUUUCAGCUAACUUAUUAGCAGGCUAGCUGUGUUGCUGUAGGCAUAAAGGAGACACAUAAUAAACCAUGUUUGAACUGGAAGAAAAACUGGGUGUCGUCUUUUGGGGAAAACACAACGCAAAGGAGUACUACAUCGCUACAUGUGCAUGAAUCCACAAAGUUUCACAAAUUCCUCACUUAAUUCACCAAACUGUCCCCGUGGAAUUAUUGGGUCUGUUUAGCUGAUUGGAGAGCUAGCUUCCGCAGCUUGUGGGUCGAUUAGGAUCGUCCAUUUCACUGCCGUAUUACAGACACCAUUUGGAAACAAUUAAGCUAUCAGGCAGAAAUACACCAACAGUGCCAACAAACAUACAACGAUGAACCAGGGCUGGCCAACGGACAAGGCUGGAUAAUACAUUCUCCUAAUUGGCAAUCAGGGACUAGUGAGGACACCGGGGUUCCUAAUAGAGCCCGCUAACAGCCAAGGACUUCAACGACCUCAACGAAGAUAAGAUGACAGCACGCAGACGAAGCAGAGACUUCAAGGACCUCAACGAAGAUAAGAUGACAACACGCAGACGAAGCGGGGACAAGAUAAUAGGCGGAGAAAGGCCUGAAGAGAGAAGUGCUCUCCACGCUGCGAGUGAGCUGUGGUUGCUGCUCGUUCAGUGAGAUGACUGUGGAUGCCAGAGUGGGAACUUUGAUCUCGGUAAAAAGAAGCCGGGGAGAGAGCGUGCAGACACAGAUAUUUCCAGUGUUUGGACCACCCCAUUAAAAGAGGGUCAUAUAUUAUUUACAAAUUAUAUCAGCAAUGAAAAAUAAAAUGAC
Molecule: long non-coding RNA, 1093 nt
Organism: Nerophis lumbriciformis (worm pipefish)
Lineage: Eukaryota; Metazoa; Chordata; Actinopteri; Syngnathiformes; Syngnathidae
Source: RefSeq, a predicted model, not a curated record